AUUGAACGCUGGCGGCAGGCCUAACACAUGCAAGUCGAACGAGUGGCGGACGGGUGAGUAAUGUCUGGGAAACUGCCUGAUGGAGGGGGAUAACCACUGGAAACGGUAUCUAAUACCGCAUACCAUAGUUUGUGCCCAGAUGGGAUUAGCUAGUAGGUGGGGUAAAGGCUAACCUAGGCGACGAUCCCUAGCUGGUCUGAGAGGAUGACCAGCCACACUGGAACGGAGACACGGUCCAGACUCCUACGGGAGGCAGCAGGGGGGAAGAUUGCACAAUGGGCGCAAGCCGGAGGCAGCCAUGCCGCGUGUAUGAAGAAGGCCUUCGGGUUGUAAAGUACUUUCAGCGGGGAGGCGUUACCCGCAGAAGAAGCACCGGCUAACUCCGUGCCAGCAGCCGCGGUAAUAC
This 406-nucleotide ribosomal RNA is filed under the name uncultured bacterium. Its description in RNAcentral is "partial 16S ribosomal RNA". It matches the Rfam family "Bacterial small subunit ribosomal RNA", at positions 30 to 526 of the family's 1533-position model. The record is from RNAcentral.